This 392-nucleotide ribosomal RNA is filed under the name uncultured bacterium. RNAcentral describes it as "partial 16S ribosomal RNA". It matches the Rfam family "Bacterial small subunit ribosomal RNA", at positions 523 to 918 of the family's 1533-position model. The record is from RNAcentral.
AUACGGAGGAUCCGAGCGUUAUCCGGAUUUAUUGGGUUUAAAGGGUGCGCAGGCGGCCAUUUAAGUCAGCGGUUAAAUCGUGGGGCUCAACCCCAUUCUGCCGUUGAUACUGGGUGGCUUGAUUGCGGUCGAGGUUGGCGGAAUUCGUUGUGUCGCGGUGAAAUGCAUAGAUAUGACGAAGAACACCGAUUGCGUAGGCAGCUGACCAGACCGCAAAUGACGCUCAUGCACGAAAGUGCGGGGAUCGAACAGGAUUAGAUACCCUGGUAGUCCGCACAGUAAACGAUGAAUACUUGUUUUCGGCGAUAUAAUGUCGGAGGCAAAGCGAAAGCGAUAAGUAUUCCACCUGGGGAGUACGCCGGCAACGGUGAAACUCAAAGGAAUUGACGGGG